This 481-nucleotide ribosomal RNA is filed under the name uncultured bacterium. RNAcentral's name for it is "partial 16S ribosomal RNA". It matches the Rfam family "Bacterial small subunit ribosomal RNA", at positions 28 to 523 of the family's 1533-position model. The record is from RNAcentral.
GACGAACGCUGGCGGCGUGCCUAACACAUGCAAGUCGAACGGAGAUACGAUUUCGGUUGUAUCUUAGUGGCGAACGGGUGAGUAACGCGUGAACAACCUGACUCUAAGAGGGGGAUAACACUCGGAAACGGGUGCUAAUACCGCAUAAGACCACGACCCGGCAUCGGGAUGAGGUCAAAGGAGCAAUCCGCUGAGAGAGGGGUUCGCGUCCCAUAAGAUAGAUGGCGGGGUAACGGCCCACCAUGUCAACGAUGGGUAGCCGAGCUUAGAGGCUGAUCGGCCACACUGGAACUGAGACACGGUCCAGACUCCUACGGGAGGCAGCAGUGGGGAAUAUUGGGCAAUGGGCGCAAGCCUGACCCAGCAACGCCGCGUGAGGGAAGAAGGCUUUCGGGUUGUAAACCUCUGUCCUUGGUGACGAAACAAAUGACGGUAGCCAAGGAGGAAGCCCCGGCUAACUACGUGCCAGCAGCCGCCGUAA